RNAcentral lists this unclassified non-coding RNA (105 nucleotides) under Clostridium beijerinckii. RNAcentral's name for it is "yybP-ykoY". The record is from RNAcentral. Lineage: Bacteria; Bacillati; Bacillota; Clostridia; Eubacteriales; Clostridiaceae.
UCAUAUAACUUAGGGGAGUAGCUUAUAAGCUAUAGAGCCAACAACCGGUAAUUAAAACUGCCUGGUUCUAUACUCCAAAUGGAAAGCAAGACCUUUGAUACGAUU